GGGGGUGAUCGGUUUCGACCGUGUAGUUGGACGCUGAGGAAGGGUGUCGAGGAUGUCGGUGACCUCGUGAAUCAUCCGGCAAAAUCAUACAUGCUGAAAACCGUUACGCUCUCGCAGCCUAAUUAGUGCUCCGAGCGUGCUGCAUUUCUCGCCUGAGGGAAUGCAGAGCGAAAUGAUGAUCGGGCUGGCACGCAUGCCCCGCCGCGGGGCUGCGCGCGAGACCAAGCGGAUCGUUGCAGGCGAGCCUGUCUGUUGGCGCGCCUGUGAUCAGAAACAAUAGACAGACUACGCACCUAGAUGCCUCAUCGGUCGGUUAUGCGGCACGCGGGUUCGAUUCCCGCCACCUCCACCA
RNAcentral lists this transfer-messenger RNA (352 nucleotides) under Planctomycetota. Its description in RNAcentral is "JADJRK01 sp016712285 Standard tmRNA". It matches the Rfam family "transfer-messenger RNA". Rfam says of the family: Bacterial tmRNA, also known as 10Sa RNA or SsrA, is named for its dual tRNA and mRNA-like properties. Lineage: Bacteria; Pseudomonadati. RNAcentral also lists the same sequence under 1 other name. The record is from RNAcentral.